Molecule: long non-coding RNA, 1909 nt
Filed under: Trifolium pratense (red clover)
Lineage: Eukaryota; Viridiplantae; Streptophyta; Magnoliopsida; Fabales; Fabaceae
Description: long non-coding RNA (TPRA_LNC009268)
Source: RNAcentral
UGUUGCCAUGAUGACCGUUGCCUCAAUAUGUGGAUAAAGGUUGCCUUGAUUAAGUCCAUUUUCUAUUGCUUAUAUAAAUUAUGUGAUGGAUAUAUGUUGCUUCGAUGACCCUUAAGUCCAUUUUUUAUUGGACUAUAUAAAUUCUGAGAUGACCCUUGCCUCAAUAUGUGGAUAAAUGUUGCCUUGAUUAAGUCCAAUUUCUAUUGGCUAUAUAAAUUAUGUGAUGAAUAUAUGUUGCUUUGAUGACCCUUGAGUCUAUUUUUGACAGACUAUUCUAACUUUUAACAAAGUUAUAGUUUUACAUUAUUAUGCUCGUUAAUUUGCAACAUGGGUUGGAGUUCAAAUUGGUCUAAGAAAUACAAUGUUACACCAAGCCACUGCAAGUUGGUUUGCAUUUUAUCAUGUUGGUGUUACACUUACAUUUAUGUUUGCUGUAUGCUAAUCAUCAGAGUUUAUUUUACUUGCUUUCUAAAUUAAGUUUUUAUGUGACAUAUUAAUAAAGCUAGGAGAAUAGAGGCACCUGAUUAUCAGCUUCUAAUAUUUUCUUUGCCUCCUAAGGGAACAUACAGAACAGAACUCACUAAAAACAGGAAAUAUUUUUCCCAAAUUGUUGAAACUCGAAUGCUUAGUUUCCCUUGCUGAUUUGUAGUUAAGAGAGCUCAUUUCUUCAUGGGUUGUCAGAGAGUAUAGCAGCUCCAUUGGUAGAAGAAAGUAAAACUUGCGCCUUUCAAGUUCUUUAUCGGUUGAACUCAAUGGCCUACUUCAAGGUAGGUUGAGUCACAAACAAACUGUCCAAGAUUUCCUACCAAACAACUCAUAGUUUUCCAUUGGGCUAAACUUAAGGAGAAAAUGCAAGUAUAUUGGACCAGUUUCUGCAGUCUCCAGAACACGUUGAGGCGUUUACUACUAUUUAUUCCACUGAACAUUCAAGCGAAGAAAAUAUAAAGGAGGGUGAAAAAUGGAAAUUAAAACUUGGAUACCAUAUGGUAAUAUAUUACAGGAACAUGACCGCUACAUCAAAGUUGCACAUCUGGUUUACCUAUGAAGUACAGUUCUGCAGUCCCAUUUUCCUAUAUUUGUGGCAAUCACAGAUUGGUUCGACCAAAAUAAAACAACUCAGAUUUCAACUGUGAUUUGAGUCAAGCUAAACAGAUAAAAUGUGAGCUGUCUGAUCAUGAUAAUCUGAUUUCUGCACAGCAGGUGGGGUUGAAGCAAUCUGUGUUAACUUUGAUUACUCGGGAUAUUUAAUUCAUCUUUUAAAAGUCCCCACAAUCUAAAUGUUGCCUCAAUAUGUAGAUAAAUGUUGGUUAAAAGACCCAAAGUCGCAAAGCCUUGGGUAAAAAUAACACUUGGUGCUAUUAUUGUACUUAAAAGGUUUUUCGUUGCCUCUAUUAAGUCCAAUUUCUAUUGGUUAUAUGAAUUAUGUGUCGGAUAUAUGUUGCUUCGAUGACCCUUAAGUCCAUUCUUGCCUCAAUAUGUGGAUAAAUGUUGCCUCGAUUAAGUCCAAUUUCUAUUGGCUAUAUAAAUUAUGUGAUGGAUAUAUGUUGCUUCGAUGACCCUCAAGUCCAAUUUUUAUUGGACUAUAUAAAUUUUUAGAUGGUUAUAUGUUGCCUUGAUGACCCUUGCCUCAAUAUGUGGAUAAAUGUUGCCUCGAUUAAGUCCAAUUUCUAUUGGCUAUAUAUGUGAUGGAUAUAUGUUGCUUCGAUGACCCUUAAAGUCCAUUUUUUAUUGGACUAAAUAAAUUCUUAGAUGGUUAUAUGUUGCCUUGAUGGCUAUAUAAAGUCCACUUUCCUUUAACUCAAAUUGUGUAUGGUGAUUGAUUUUUUUGUUCUAACUAACUGCUUAAUCAGUACUACAUAGUAAAGUGCAAAGAGUGCAAAAUAUGAUAUGGUGAAAGCAAAGAGAUAUG